RNAcentral lists this ribosomal RNA (253 nucleotides) under uncultured prokaryote. RNAcentral describes it as "partial 16S ribosomal RNA". It matches the Rfam family "Bacterial small subunit ribosomal RNA", at positions 525 to 777 of the family's 1533-position model. The record is from RNAcentral.
ACGGGGGGAGCAAGCGUUGUUCGGAAUCACUGGGCUUAAAGGGCGCGUAGGCGGGCUGCCAAGUCUGGGGUGAAAUCCCACGGCUCAACCGUGGAACUGCCUCGGAUACUGGCGGCCUCGAGGGAGGUAGGGGCGUGCGGAACUGUGGGUGGAGCGGUGAAAUGCGUUGAUAUCCACAGGAACUCCGGUGGCGAAAGCGGCGCGCUGGACCUCUUCUGACGCUGAGGCGCGAAAGCUAGGGGAGCAAACGGGA